CUAAGACUAAAUUAAAAGAAAGCUGACUAAAUGAACACCAAGUCAGUAUUUCUCUGGCACAGAAUAGAGUAAAUUAACAACAGUGUUAAAACAUCCAAGGUGAAGGAGUAUUUUAAUUAUACACAGAUACUAUCCAAAAGAUCCAGUUUCAUCUCUGUGAUAGGCCUGUCUUAGCUGUCUGGAUCCACUCCCACAGAGCAGAUAUCAGAGGCUGGAUCUAGGUUGUGACAGCUCACUCAAGAGUCUCCAAUUUCACCACAAGCUGCUGCUGCUGUUACUGUUGAUGGUGCCACACUCAGGGUCAACUAGAGCAAGAAGAGACAACAGGAUGGGGCGAUGAUUCCCGUGAAACAACACCGGUUUCGUCAGAAGAAGAUCCGGGUCACUCAUCAAAAAAUCUGAUGCAAGCUUCAACACCACCCUGUAACAAGAGGAGCUACACCCUGUUAGCAAACUGUGACAUUUUUUAUUUCAACAGAAGACGUUUUAUAAUUAAUUGAAUUAAGUACAACUUUUUGUAAAACAUUUAAAUACUCUUAUUUAAGUAAAAUACAUUAAAGGUCUCACUUAAUAACAAAGUAUGAGCAUUAAGUUCCACAUUUUGAAAGUAAUCAACUUAUUAUGCAGACAGCCCAUUGCAGAAUAUAUGGGCCACAUAAUGGCAUUUUUUAUUAUUAUAAGUAUUGCUUUAAUGUUGCAUCAUGAAAACGUUGGGCUUAUUUUAACUACUUUAAAUACAGCCCGGUAGCUUAAGUUAUUAGUUAUAAUUUAUUAGUUGACUUAUAUUUAGUCUGAAUGAUAUGAAUCUUUAGAGUGACUGAAGUUAUCAAAUACAUGUAUUUGAUAAAGAUAUUGGCUCACAAAACUGCAGUGGAAUACAAUUAAGUACAAGUUAGAGAGUGCAAGAGUUAUUAUAAAAUGGAAAUAGUCAAGUAAAGUACCUCAAAAGUGUACUUUUGUGAUAAGUAAAGGGUAGUGAAAAAACUUGUACUUGAGUCAAUUAACUUUGUACAAUUUUAUGCCAUACUUUUAUAAGUACAUGUACUUCCUUUUAGAAACAAAUGUACUUAUAAAAUACAAUGCUUUGUUACAGUAACUUGAGCCACACAGCGUCCAAAUAAAUAAAAAACUUUACCGAGGCCAUUAAAAGGCAUCUUAAAUAUAAUGUAAUAGUAUUAUAAUAAUUUAACAAGCGCAAAGCAUCUAUGGCUGCACGGUAUGUACCUUUAUACUUAUAGAGUAAUGUAAACUUACUUGAUAAAAUGUUUCCUAAAGUAUCAUUUUGAAUGGAGUUUUACUUGUAAGUUGUUUUCUAAUCAUUGUAUUGCUACUUUCCCUCUUUAUAUAACAUGCAGGUUUAAAACUGCUUAUUUUAUUAAAAACUGUUUAUUUUACUGUCACAAAGUUUAUUUCCAUUUUGACUGCUCAAAUAUCACUUUAAUUUGUUCUGCCAUCUAGUGGCUGAAGAGAGGAAUUGAAGCCAUUCACAGGGUUCCUGCAGGUAUCGCCAACUCAAAUUUAAGACUUUUUAAGACCUUUUUAAGACCACUUCUAAUAGAA
Molecule: long non-coding RNA, 1560 nt
Organism: Notothenia coriiceps (black rockcod)
Lineage: Eukaryota; Metazoa; Chordata; Actinopteri; Perciformes; Nototheniidae
Exons: 3
Source: RefSeq, a predicted model, not a curated record